RNAcentral lists this unclassified non-coding RNA (394 nucleotides) under uncultured soil eukaryote. Its description in RNAcentral is "sequence contains 5.8S rRNA gene, ITS2, 28S rRNA gene". The stretch from base 1 to 52 matches the Rfam family "5.8S ribosomal RNA", at positions 103 to 154 of the family's 154-position model. The record is from RNAcentral.
AACGCAAAUUGCACUGUUGGGUCCUCCCAGCAGUAUGUCUGUUUGAGUGUCAGCACUUUCCUUAAUAAUCAUCACUAUUUUAUAAUAGUGGAUUGAAUAUUGACACUUUAUGAUACAUCAUAAUGUGUUUAAGUAAAUUGACUUUUCUUUCUUUCAAAUUAGUGGAAGUACAUUGACAACAUGUAAUAAUCAACCAUUGCUUACAUGCACAUUUUAAGCAAUAGCAAGGUAUUUUAUUUAUGUUAUCAAUUAAAUUGUGCAACCAUGAAUGAAUGAAUGAAUGAAUGAAUGAAUGAAUGAAUGAAUGAAAGAAUAAAAAGAAAGUCAUCAACUACUACAACAACAAUUUUAACAUCUUGACCUCAAAUUAGGCAAGGCUACCCGCUGAAUUUAA